This 411-nucleotide ribosomal RNA is filed under the name uncultured bacterium. RNAcentral's name for it is "bacterial SSU rRNA". It matches the Rfam family "Bacterial small subunit ribosomal RNA", at positions 29 to 440 of the family's 1533-position model. The record is from RNAcentral.
AUUGAACGCUGGCGGCGUGCUUAACACAUGCAAGUCGAGCGGUAACAGGCGUAGCAAUACGUGCUGACGAGCGGCGAACGGGUGCGUAAUACAUCGGAAUCUGCCUCGUAGUGGGGAGUAACCCGGCGAAAGCCGGGCUAAUGCCGCAUACGAUCCACGGAUGAAAGCGGGGGACCGUAAGGCCUCGCGCUAUGAGAUGAGCCGAUGUCGGAUUAGCUAGNGGUGAGGUAACGGCUCACCAAGGCGACGAUCCGUAGCUGGUCUGAGAGGACGGCCAGCCACACUGGGACUGAGACACGGCCCAGACUCCUACGGGAGGCAGCAGUGGGGAAUAUUGGACAAUGGGGGAAACCCUGAUCCAGCGACGCCGCGUGUGUGAAGAAGGCCUGCGGGUUGUAAAGCACUUUCGGU